RNAcentral lists this ribosomal RNA (773 nucleotides) under uncultured bacterium. RNAcentral's name for it is "bacterial SSU rRNA". It matches the Rfam family "Bacterial small subunit ribosomal RNA", at positions 1 to 788 of the family's 1533-position model. The record is from RNAcentral.
UUAUCGCCCNAAUCCCCUUGAGUUUGAUAUGGCUCAGCCUGAACGCUGGCGGCGUGGUUAAGACAUGCAAGUCGCACGGAUGGAGCAAUCCAUCAUUGGCGCACGGGUGAGUAAUGAAUCGCUAACGUGCCCCGGACUCUGGGAUAGCCAUCCGAAAGGGUGGGUAAUACCACUAUGACACCACAUGUGUCACAUGACCGUGUGCUCUAAGGUCCGCCGGUCUGGGAGCGGGCGAUUUCGUAUCACCUAGUUGGUGCGGGUAACGGCCCACCAAGGCUACGACGCGUAGCCUGACUGAGAGGUCGGUCGGCCACAUCGGGACUGAUACACUGCCCGGACUCCUACGGAGGGCUGCAGUAACGAAUCUUCGUCAAUGCACCAAAGUGUGAACGACCGACGCCACGUGGAGGAUGAAGUCCUUCGGGAUGUAAACUCCUGUCAGGGGUUACCAAGUUCUGAGGAGCCCCAGAGGAAGAGGCGGCUAACUCUGUGCCAGCAGCCGCGGUAAGACAGACGCCUCGAGCGUUAGGCGGAAUCACUGGGCUUAAAGCGUGUGUAGGCGGACCGUUAAGUACCUUGUGAAAUCCCACGGCUCAACCGUGGAACGGCUGGGUAUACUGGCGGUCUUGAGCCACCUAGGGGCGAGCGGAACAAACGGUGGAGCGGUGAAAUGCGUAGAUAUCGUUUGGAACGCCAAUGGUGAAGACAGCUCGCUUGGGGGUGUGCUGACUCUGAGACACNAAAGCCAGGGGAGCGAACGGGAUAGAUACCCC